Molecule: small nuclear RNA, 100 nt
Filed under: Tupaia belangeri (northern tree shrew)
Lineage: Eukaryota; Metazoa; Chordata; Mammalia; Scandentia; Tupaiidae
Description: U4 spliceosomal RNA (ENSTBEG00000020946.1)
Rfam family: U4 spliceosomal RNA (bases 1-66)
About the family: U4 small nuclear RNA (U4 snRNA) is a component of the major U2-dependent spliceosome. The structure of U4 snRNA from yeast and human has been reported.
Source: RNAcentral
AGCUUUGCGCAGUGGCAGUAUCGUAGCCAAUGAGGUUUAUCCGAGGUGCGAUUAUGGCUAAUUCUACUCCCCCCCCCCUUUUAAUUGAAGGUGCAUGCAU